Molecule: long non-coding RNA, 655 nt
Organism: Drosophila mojavensis
Lineage: Eukaryota; Metazoa; Arthropoda; Insecta; Diptera; Drosophilidae
Exons: 3
Source: RefSeq, a predicted model, not a curated record
AGCCAGCCGCCCCAGCUAAUGCAGACGGGGGUGAGGCAGCUCAGCAAGGCCGUCGCAAAGCAAAAUAUUUGUGACGUCUAUUGAUAAACGAAACGGAUAUCCCCAUAUCAAAACAAUUACAUUGAGCUCCAUGAAACUGACGAUUUCUGGAGCUAUGGCAAGUGCAUAACAAACACUCUGAUAUAUUGUUGCAUGAUAUUAAUUAUAUAGCCGGCUGUAGAAUGAUUAUAAAUGACUAUUUGGUUAGCAUCGUUUACGAUUCAACUUUUUACAUAAGUUCGACGGGGAAAAUAUUUUUUUUUAAAUGUUUGGAAUAAUAAAGUUAUCUAUGUAUUAUAUUUGAGCAGGGAAAUUUAGGGUUUCAGCAUGCCAUACAAAUUUACCUAAGCUUAUAUUAGUACUUACCUAAGCUUGUUUAGUACCCAUUUUAAGCCUGGGAUGCUUAGAUUAAAGAUCGAUAAUAAUUUUGAAUAAUGGGAAGUUUUUUUAGGUACUCACUUAGACAUGCAGUUAAAAUUUCCCCUGAAAGCACUAUUAGUGAUAUCAUUUAUAUAGCAACUCUUAUUUACUCUAGUUUUACUAAAUUAACAAACAAUUGUCUUAUUAAAAAUGAGUGAAAUAAAUAAUUAGUAUUAUUGAAUUAGUAACUCACGUG